This 468-nucleotide ribosomal RNA is filed under the name uncultured bacterium. RNAcentral describes it as "partial 16S ribosomal RNA". It matches the Rfam family "Bacterial small subunit ribosomal RNA", at positions 28 to 507 of the family's 1533-position model. The record is from RNAcentral.
GACGAACGCUGGCGGCGUGCUUAACACAUGCAAGUCGAACGGAAAGGCCCUGCUUUUGUGGGGUGCUCGAGUGGCGAACGGGUGAGUAACACGUGAGUAACCUGCCCUUGACUUUGGGAUAACUUCAGGAAACUGGGGCUAAUACCGGAUAGGAGCUCCUGCUGCAUGGUGGGGGUUGGAAAGUUUCGGCGGUUGGGGAUGGACUCGCGGCUUAUCAGCUUGUUGGUGGGGUAGUGGCUUACCAAGGCUUUGACGGGUAGCCGGCCUGAGAGGGUGACCGGCCACAUUGGGACUAAGAAACGGCCCAGACUCCUACGGGAGGCAGCAGUGGGGAAUAUUGCACAAUGGGCGGAAGCCUGAUGCAGCAACGCCGCGUGCGGGAUGACGGCCUUCGAGUGGUAAACCGCUUUGGCCUGUGACGAGGAGUGAGUGACGGUAAUGGGUAAAGAAGCAACGGCUAACUACGUG